This 69-nucleotide transfer RNA is filed under the name Marmota marmota marmota (Alpine marmot). It matches the Rfam family "tRNA". From Rfam's summary of the family: Transfer RNA (tRNA) molecules are approximately 80 nucleotides in length. The record is from Rfam by way of RNAcentral. RNAcentral also lists the same sequence under 4 other names. Lineage: Eukaryota; Metazoa; Chordata; Mammalia; Rodentia; Sciuridae.
GGAGAUGUAGCUCAGUGGUGGAGUGCUUGCCUAGCAUGAGUGAGGCCCUGGGUUCAAUCCCCAGCACCA